UUAAAUCACAUCCAUUCAUUUAUUCAAACUCAGAAACAACCCACCUUUUUCCCCUUUUAUUAAACAUUUUUUUUAGUGUUAUAAAUGCAAUAAAAACCGUUCUAAUCCAGGUUACAUUACCUGUAUAACGAGGGAGUUUAAAUGUUGUAACGAUUAUCAAGAAGGGAGAAUAGGCCAUGCAAUUAGGGUUGCGCAUAGGUUGGUUCAGCCCCCAAAUCAACAAUCGAAUUGCCGGCAACACGUAGACUCGG
RNAcentral lists this long non-coding RNA (251 nucleotides) under Prunus persica (peach). Its description in RNAcentral is "long non-coding RNA (PPER_LNC000224)". The record is from RNAcentral. Lineage: Eukaryota; Viridiplantae; Streptophyta; Magnoliopsida; Rosales; Rosaceae.